GGUUGUCGUGAUGGGCGUAUGGUGGAUGCCUUGGCAGACAGUACCGAUGAAGGACGUGUGGGGCCGCGAUAGUCCUGGGGGAGCCGCCGACAUGGCUUUGAUCCCAGGGUGUCCGAAUGGGGCAACCCGCCAGCCGUCAUGGGCUGGCACCGCACUUGUGCGGGGGGUACGCAGGGAAGUGAAACAUCUCAGUACCUGCAGGAGAGGAUACUCCGUGAGUAGUGGCGAGCGAAAGCGGAUGAUGGCUAAACCGUGCGCGUGUGAUACCCGUCGGGGGUUGCGCGCAUGGUGUCGUGGGAACGCCUGUCCAACGGCCGACGCCGUUGGCUGUGGUGAUAAAUGCAUGCGUGAGGCGAACCGGGUUGGAUACCGGGCCGUAGAGGGUGAUGGCCCCGUAGCCGUAUGCGCGUGCACCAUGGAUGGUGUCUCCCGAGUAGCGCGGGACUCGUGGAAUCCCGUGUGAAUCCGCCCGGACCGUCGGGUAAGCCUGAGUAUACCUGUCUGACCGAUAGCGUACGAGUACCGUGAGGGAAAGGUGAAAAGCACCCCGGGGAGGGGAGUGAAAGAGUUCCUGAAACCGUGCGCCCGCGAACCGUCGGAGCCCCCUUGSUGGGGUGACGGCSUGCCUAUCGAAAAAUGAGUCUGCGAGUCAGUGGCAUGUGGCGAGCAUAAGCCGUGUGGUGUAUGCGUAGCGAAAGCGAGUCUUAAAAAGGCGUCUUUUCAGUCGCGUGUCCUGGACCCCGAAGCGGGAUGAUCUAGCCCUGGUCAGGUUGAAGCGCGGGUAAGACCGCGUGGAGGACCGCACCCACUUAGGUUGAAAACUGAGGGGAUGAACUGGGGUUAGGGGUGAAAGGCCAAUCAAAUUCCGUGAUAGCUGGUUCUCUUCGAAAUGCAUUUAGGUGCAGCGUCGGUUGAUUGCGUGUGGGGGGUAGAGCUACUGGAUGCUUGCGGGCCCGUGCCGGGUACCAACAGCAACCAAACUCCGAAUACCCAUCGCGUCUAUUCCGGCAGUGAGUCGGCGGGGGAUAAGCUCCGUCGUCGAGGGGGAGACAGCCCUGACCGUCGUCUAAGGUCCCCAAGCGCGUGCUAAGUGGGAAAGGAUGUGGAGUCGCAUAGACAGCCAGGAGGUUGGCUCAGAAGCAGCCAUCCUUGAAAGAGUGCGUAACAGCUCACUGGUCUAGUGGUUCCGCGCCGACAAUGUAGCGGGGCUCAAGCACGCCACCGAAGACGCGGAUGCGGCCGUAUGGCCGUGUGGUAGGAGAGCGUCCCACACCGGGGCGAAGCGGCGGGGGAACCCGGCCGUGGACUGUGUGGGAGUGAGAAUGCAGACAUGAGUAGCGAGAGCAGGGUGAGGAUCCCUGCCGCUGGAAGACCAAGGGUUCCAGGGCCACGUUCGUCGUCCCUGGGUGAGUCGGGUCCUAAGGCGAGGCCGACAGGCGUAGUCGAAUGGAUGAACGGGUCGAUAUUCCCGUACCGGCUUUCGGACCGACCAACAGCCCGUGUGAACAAGGGCCAUCCGAUACGGUUGAUGGGGGCUUCGGCCUCCUGAUUCCGUUGCUGUUUGGCCUGGACGCGCAUGGGUUGAGCGUUUCAGGAGUGACGCGGACGGGUAGCCGGCCGGGGAGGUGGUUUUCCCUGGUCAAGCGUGUGGCCCCGCCCCCAGGCAAAUCCGGGGGCUUCAUGGGGUGAGGCGUGAUGAUGGGCGCUUUCAUGGCGUGAUAUCCGGUGAUCCCGUCGGCCGAGAAAAGCUUCGGCGCGAGGUCCGUUGCCGCCCGUACCCCAAACCGACACAGGUGGUCUGGUAGAGUAUACCGAAGCGAUCGAGCGAAUCCUGGUCAAGGAACUCGGCAAAUUGCUCCCGUGCCUUCGGCAUAAGGGAGACCCCCGGCCGUGCCGGCCCCUUGCGGGUCGUGGGCGGCUGGGGGUGGCACAGGCCAGGGGGUAGCGACUGUUUACCAAAAACACAGGUGCAUGCCAAGACGCAAGUCGCCGUAUAUGCACUGACGCCUGCCCGGUGCCGGAAGGUUAAGAGGAUCCAUCAGCGUCCCCUCGCGGGAUGCGAAGUGGUGAAUUCAAGCCCCGGUAAACGGCGGUGGUAACUAUAACCAUCCUAAGGUAGCGAAAUUCCUUGUCGGGUAAGUUCCGACCUGCACGAAUGGCGUAACGACUUCCCGCUGUCUCGACCAGGAGCUCGGCGAAAUUGCAGUACGAGUAAAGAUGCUCGUUAAGCGCAGAAGGACGAAAAGACCCCGGGACCUUUACUAUACCUUGGUAUUGGCAUCAGGUGCGGAUUGUGUAGCAUAGGCGGGAGGCUUCGAAGCCGCGGCGCCAGCCGUGGUGGAGCCGGCCAGUGAAAUACCGCUCUGUCCCCAUCUGAUGCCUAACCCGGACAAGUCAGCCUUGUCGGGGAGAGUGCCUGGCGGGUAGUUUAACUGGGGCGGUUGCCUCCCAAAGAGUAACGGAGGCGCUCAAAGGUCCGCUCGGCCCGGUUGGCAAUCGGGUGUCGAGUGUAAUCGCACAAGCGGGCUUGACUGCGAGAUCGACGGAUCGAGCAGGGACGAAAGUCGGAGAUAGUGAUCCGGUGCCGGCGUACGGACGCGGCAUCGCUCAACGGAUAAAAGGUACCCCGGGGAUAACAGGCUGAUCAUUCCCAAGAGUCCAUAUCGACGGGAUGGUUUGGCACCUCGAUGUCGGCUCGUCGCAUCCUGGGGCUGGAGCAGGUCCCAAGGGUUCGGCUGUUCGCCGAUUAAAGCGGCACGCGAGCUGGGUUCAGAACGUCGUGAGACAGUUUGGUCUCUAUCCUCUGCGCUCGUUGGAAUCCUGAGGAGGCCUGCCCAUAGUACGAGAGGACCUGGGUGGACGAACCUCUGGUAUGCCAGUUGUCGCGCCAGCGGCACGGCUGGUUGGCCACGUUCGGGAGGGAUAACCGCUGAAAGCAUCUAAGCGGGAAGCCCGCUCCAAGAUAAGGAUUCCUGACACCCCCCCCGGGGGUGUGUGAGACCCCAUAGAGAACAUGUGGUUGAUAGACCGGACGUGGAAGCCCCGCGAGGGGUGGAGCCGACCGGCACUAACGGUCGAAGACAACCAACACCACCAUGACGAAGCCGGAAAACCCCGGCGGCAUCACGG
Molecule: ribosomal RNA, 3129 nt
Filed under: Bifidobacterium animalis subsp. lactis DSM 10140
Lineage: Bacteria; Bacillati; Actinomycetota; Actinomycetes; Bifidobacteriales; Bifidobacteriaceae
Description: bacterial LSU rRNA
Rfam family: Bacterial large subunit ribosomal RNA
Source: RNAcentral